UGUAUGGAGAGUCUGAUGGAGCAUGCCGCGUGAGCGAAGAAGGUUUUCGGAUCGUAAAGCUCUGUUGUAAGGGAAGAACACGUACGGGAGUAACUGCCCGUGCCAUGACGGUACCUUAUUAGAAAGCCACGGCUAACUACGUGCCAGCAGCCGCGGUAAU
RNAcentral lists this ribosomal RNA (160 nucleotides) under uncultured bacterium. RNAcentral's name for it is "partial 16S ribosomal RNA". It matches the Rfam family "Bacterial small subunit ribosomal RNA", at positions 372 to 524 of the family's 1533-position model. The record is from RNAcentral.